AAAAAGGGCAUCUGUCGUGAUUGACACAGUGAGAGUAGAUCACUCUGGUCUUACUGCGGAAUCGCUAUCAAGAGAUUUCGGAUGCAUAAUUUUUACAAGCCGGGGCUGCUGAUAAUCAUUUAUUUCGGCGCCCCA
Molecule: small nuclear RNA, 135 nt
Organism: Hemibagrus wyckioides
Lineage: Eukaryota; Metazoa; Chordata; Actinopteri; Siluriformes; Bagridae
Product: U11 spliceosomal RNA
Exons: 1
Source: RefSeq, a predicted model, not a curated record